UUUGUACUUAUCCAAUACAAAAUGAUUUCAAAUGGCACUACUGUUCUGCUCCAUAUCAUCCUGAAACUUAAAGCCUGCAAAUAUUAAAACUAAAAAGAUACUUAAAGGACAUUUGCCAUUUUGCAGGUGCUGUCUAUCAUCCACAGUAGAAAGGAGUUUCAUGACCAGUAUAAUUUACGCAAUUGUGUGCACAUUUCACUUAAAAUGGUAACUUUCAUACUUGACUAUCCCCCUUUCCCGAGAAUGCCUAAAUCAGGCAGCAUGAUUUGCUCAGCCUAAAAGAUACAGCUCUUCGCGUAUAUUCUCAUUACCUUUUGAAAAGUCAGGUGUCAGAAAAUUAUGACCCACGACUUUAAAGAUCGAGACAGAGUGCCUCUGAGAUCCUUUAAAGAUGUCUUUCAGAAGGGUCUUUAGUAUGGACAUUAAUAAGGAUUGACAUGACUCCAUGAGAUCCAAUCAUACUAACCCUCAGUUGUCCUUUCAAACUCUCUCCAAGAACGAAACCCCGUAACACUUCCAAGAAGGACAGGAUAAUUUUCUUACACCCCCAGUCUGAGAGUCUAAUCCAGUGCAAAUAUUGCCAAGGAAGAUAAGUGGUUUUCAUAAUGUUUUUGUCGGAUUUUAGCCUAUAAAGGUUGUUGUUUAAAUGUCGACCUGACUACGCAUCCAUUGUAUUCCAUCAUCCAGAUUUGUGUCGUUGAAAGAUUGGUGUGAUUCAGAUGUGUUAGGACAUCAGAGUCCUGGAAUUCGCAAUUCUAAGAGUUUUAAAUGUCACAGUGGUUAUUCCCAUGGUUUUGCGACCGGAGGUCCUGGGUUCGAAUCCUAGCCAAUGUAACUUUUACAGGUCUUAUUUCUAGAUAUGUCAGGAAAGCCCUGACCUGGAUUUCAUAACUUCGCUCUUGACUGAAACAUAUUUUAUUACGGUUAAGUAAAAUAGGCCUAUUCAACCUCAUUGAAGUAAAUGUUGAAAACGUGUAUAUAUUUUAUAUUUUUCAGCCUUGUGAAUCAUCAAAACAUUGCACACUAGUUGCAAUUUAUCUGGCCACAUACAAAUAAAUUUAAGAUAAUCUAUGCCAUUAGAGCGCAGAGGCUUAGGCUAAGAGAACAUAGCAACAUCUGUAAGGUUUAUUAUCUAAUUCGAAAUUGUGUUUCGGGAAGGAUAAAAAAUAGGGUACGAAAUUCUGACACAAGAAAACAGGGUAUACACAAUCUGUAAAAUUGGUACAAAUACAUAUUUUACAUUUCACUCACCACUUGUUAAAUGUCUGUUGAUUAGGAAUGUAGGCUGAGAUUGAAUUAUAAGAUUCCAGUCCAAAUUAUAUUUAAAAGACUGGAGAUCAGGCGAUUUACGCUCAGUUCACUAUCCUUUCAGUCAUCUCCAAUGAUCUACUUUCAUUCAAUCGUUUUCGCUUCUUUAGUAUCGUUCACACAGCUUCCCCUAAAUAUUUACAAAACUCUGAUGUUGGUUUAAAAUAGGGAUAUCGGGAGCAAGGGGGAGAUAUUAAAGACAAGAGGACAUUCCUGUCCCCGAAACGCCAAUUUUUUUUCCUCCUCUGAGCCUCCCGCGGGCGCAAUAAUAGAGGCUCAUUACAGAGAUGACUUUUUAAACAUCGUUUUAACGAUGAACUUGACAAAAGAGAGCAUUGCAGAUCGACCGCGACAUCAAUGCAAGAUAAUACCAGCGUGUAGUCGUCCUAUACACACAACGCCUUAAGCUAUCGACGGUUUAAGGUAACGCUUCCUGCCCGGGUAGAACCGUCUACGUUAAAAGGAGAAAUGGUCCAAAACGCACUUUUCUAGGUUCAUCGCAUUACCUUCGAUGGCUGUCGGAUACGUCGGGACUCCGCUGUCGGGACACAGACAGAGAAAAAUAAAGGUCUGGCAGCACGUUGGCCACAGAAGUCUGUUUUCAAAAGAGACUCGUAUUAGAGGAAGGCGGUGGCACCUGGCCCCCAUUGUGGCAUCGCUUCUAACGCCACGGAUGAUGAUGUCUAGGCUACAUUGAGGAACGACAAUUUCAAAAUAAUAUGCCACUGCGUAAGGCCUGUAUCUAAUUUACUCGGGUCAUCAAUUUUCCAGGUCAUUACCUUGUCCUAACUGAACUCCAUUGGUAAACAUUAUUCAUGUUCAUGGUAUGUCCUUUUCAUACUACAACAUACAUGUAUAAUAAAAGUAUAGAAACAAUGAAAAUGUUGUCGCAUUGAUGAAUGAAAUGAGUAAACAGAAUGGAAUUAAAGUAUUUUUUAAUACGAGGAUAAGAUAAUAGAAUCAUAUAGUACAUUAUGAUUUAUGUAUUCUGAAUUUCUUUUUGUUUCUGUUUUAGGAACAGGAGAGGUUAUUUCUGAUUUCGGUCUGCCUGAUAGUAUCAACAUAUAAACACACAUACAUACUCCAAUGCAUACGUACGUACAUACAUAAAUACGCAAGUCAUUAAAUACGUUUUAAGAAAUUAUGCAUAUCAAUAGAGUUAUAGAAGCUUUAUUACUUUUUUUCUUGGUUUACCACAUGAAUGUCUGAUAUUUGGAUGUACAGUACCACACACGGCUCCGAUUUAUAUAAACCCUCUUUUUUUAUUUUUGUAAUAAAUGACAAGUUAAUCCAAACAUGAAGUUGUUUCAAAUGAACUCUGCUCGUUUUUAUUCACUUCAUACCCUGUCAAUGUCCAAGAUUUCAGAGGCGGUGGAAAUAGGUCGAUUGCAUCUGAAUCUUACACGGCGAAACAGGUGGAUGCCAUGUUCAUCAACACGAUAUGCUGCAUGAAAUUUGUAACGUGCCUGAAUGAAAGAGAUUUCGUGCACCUGCACCAAAACUGAUGUAUGGGUCCAAGUCAGUGAUGCCCUGUUCUGGUUUGUGUACAAAUUUUGUCCAUAAUUUCGGGUCGAGGUCUCAGGCAUGCAGGGAAUGUCGUUAAAUCAAGUUCAUGACCAAGACAUGUCUAGGGGGAACUGGAGGAAAAAUGUAAGGUUCAUGAAAAUAAAGUUUUAAACCUAACCGUUUUUUUUAAUUCAAAACUUAACCAUAAAAUGCAGAUACUAUAACGGGGAAGAUGGACCACUUGGAAAUUGAUCAUUGUAUAUGACUAGCGUCAGAAGAGUCAGGGUAUCGGGGUAUUGCCUAGAUAGACACCUUUCCAGGGUGAUAAUCACACAAGCUGUGAAUGAAGACGAGAGCGUUACGCAGAGGGGUCAACGGUGUCCAAAAGACGACUAGAAGUGGGGAAAGGGUGAUCUAUCAUUUUUUCACCAACCUCUAAAUGUAACAUUGCGAUGCUUGUGUCAACUCGACGUAAAUUCGUUAUAUAAACUGACAUAUACGUGCAAAUCCUUGCACUAUCCAUUCCGGCGGUUUUAGGAGGGGAUUAAGGACAGGAGGAGUCCUGCUUCAACUAUGGCUUACCCAUUCAAAAAAAAAGAAAAAAAAGAAGAACCACCUGUCGGCUGGACUCGCCAGAAGACACAUAUUUCUAUGAUAGUUUAUAGAAUGAAUAAGAAAUAUUUUUCUACAUUUUAACCUUUGACCCCCGGUCUGCUGAUUCAUGGUCUUACAAAGUAUGGAAGCAUAAGCUCGAUGAGAAGUUCAAAGCCUGAAGAUUGAUGCACGGCGUAUGGUGUUUUUGACGUUUGUUUUGGAAGCAAAAUCCCUCUCGGAAGAAGGCAUCACUAAUGUUACAAGCGAGAUGGGAGCAAGGACCCAAACAGUUGAUUAAGAGAGCUUAUUUAAUCGUUGAUUCUUAUAUAUAUAUCUAUCAUUUUAUCACAAUAUGUUAGAAAUCAGUCAAAUUGAUAGAAAUAUUUUGAAAAAUAAUAUGUUAGGCAUGACAGGCUGAGAAGCGAGCAGGGAAAUCCCUCUGUCAAUGCGAUGUGGGAAACAUCUGAGUGAAGACAGUUUUGAGGGUCGAGGUCAAUUUUGGAUUCAUUAAAAGGCUAUAAAUAGCAUGAUGUUCUAAACAUAAGCAUGUUACAAGUGCACGUACACAUGCGCCCUCCCACACCCUCCUACUAGUUUGCGAUCACGCUCACCCACUCACUCACGUUGGAAAAAAAAUGCACACGCAUAGGCCUACGUACUGGCAUAUAAAUACUACUGUGAAUUCUACCUACGACUAUUGUUUGUACUAAUAUGCCGCUUCUGCUUCUCUACUGUUAUUGCCACUAAUGCUUUUUUGACAGACACCCAUAUGUAUUUAUUGUAAAGUUCGAACCUGUACUUUUCCACCUGUAAUUUGUUCUGAAGUUAGCAUUUGAUUAAGACGGAAGUGCGAAAUAUAAAUGUUUAUGAAUUCAUUGUCAUCUAAAUACAACUGCUUCUCGUAUCUAAAAUUUUUAAUGUUUGAUACGAUAUCAAACUGCAAAAUUCAUAUUUAUUUAUGGUGACGAUGAAUAUCACCACAUCGCCCUCACAAGGAUGUAGAAAGACAAAGCUGAAAUGAGAAAAGAUCGAUUUAUUAUACAUGUAAUUUCAUUAAAAAAUAUAUAAAAGACUGAAAUUCAUUACUGAUUUCACAAAAAAAAGAGACAAUUUUGUGGAAGUCGGGAAUUUUCCAAAGCUGCUGAAAACAUGCUCACGUAUCCAUCCUCCAUUCUACAAACUUUAUAAAAUAGAUUGGAUAACAAGAAAUUGAUUAUUUCCCUUGUUUUGGUGGAAAUUAUAUAUUCAUCUUCAAAGUUAUUUCAUUAAAAUUAAUUUUCAUUCCGAUGGAGACUGAACAAAAAAACUUAAGGAAAGAAGAGCUGCCCUUGGUCAGAGUCGUAGAAGAAAAAAACAACAACCUUGCUCUGUAUAUUGUUCGUCUAGAACAGAUAACAUGGGCUCAUUGUAAUUGUUUCAAUUUUUACCAUUAAAAUGUGAUUUAUAUAUUUAAAAAAGUAGGAAGAAAUAUGAAGGGUUUUUGUUAAAUCUAUAAACUUGACAUGUGCAGUUUGCAUUUUUCUUUAGGCCUGCAUUUUUCAUCUAUUGACAUUGUCGUGAUAGUGCAUCGCCCGAUUCUAGUCGCCUUGCGUUAAUUUAUCGAACCAUGCCGAAGAAAGUGACCAGAAAGUCGGAGCGAAAUGAGGCGACGUUUCAUGGCAUUAAAUGAGUAUGGAAUGGCAUAAAUGAUAAGCGAAUCUAUUCAAGUUCAAAUUCAGGUCAUUUCCCUGAUGCAGACCUCUUAGAGAGGUUUUAUGCCCUCACGGAAUGCCACAAGUAUAUGGUUCAGCGGCCACCUGCAGUCUCGGCCCGCCGGUAUGGGGAUAAGUAGUUCCCUCCAGAGUACAGAUGCAUGAGGGUGUUUUUACCCUAUAUGAACAUGCAAAAUCCAAUGAUACCACAAAUCAACAAAUCAAGACGACGAAUUGCAAUUCUAACAAAUUAAACACAAAGGGUUAUUCAUUAAAUGAAAAAACAACGGAACCUUAAUUAAGGUGGUUAUUCUCAUGUAUAAUAGUACAUAAAUAAAAUUAACAUGCUGCUUUGAAGGCAAUAUUUGUAUAAAAACAAUGAAAAUAAACACCAUACGAAAUUCAUAAGAAGUCUACUGACUGAAACGUUCAACAUCUUUAUAUCCAUAAUGUUCUUUUCAUUCACAUUGCAUAUUUUGCUUGUAUAUUGCACUAAUGAAGUCAAGACAAAGUAGUAAAAUCAAAUACAUCUGUCUCAAGAGUUUACAAACAAGCAACCGAUGAACGUUAAUUCUUUUGCUUUGUAUAAUUUCUUGGAAAACAAGGUACGUGUAUUAUCUGAAUAUUAACAACAUAAUCUCGAACAUUAAUCGUCCCCAAUACAAUGGAAUUAUUAUUUGAUUAAGACAUUGGUAUUUUCUCUUUUUAUGAUCGAUCGAAUCGACAAGCAAGACAGUCAGGCCAAAUCCUGGCCAAAGCCUUGAAAAUGUCAGACGCAUAAAUCUUGUACUUGGUCCACGAGCUCCCGGUAUAGCAUUAACAUGGAUUAGGCCUCUGGUCGGCCAGUUGACGAUUGAAGUUCCUAUUGCAGACAUUCAUAAUGAUUGGUCGAUAAUUAUAUGAUUAAUGAUAUUAGGUUGUUCGAUGGAAUCAAGGCUUGUAAAAUGGUACAGGUCAAUGUCUGGACCCCGAAAAUGAAUCCAUGUUUUAUUUUUUUUUGCAAAGAGCGUGAGGCAUCCUGUGAAAAUUUAGUGGUGUUGCUUUCGGUCCAGCCUACU
Long non-coding RNA from Lytechinus variegatus (green sea urchin), 6157 nucleotides. RefSeq lists it as uncharacterized. NCBI's taxonomy places the organism in Eukaryota, Metazoa, Echinodermata, Echinoidea, Temnopleuroida, Toxopneustidae. The transcript has 3 exons. The record is from RefSeq and is a predicted model, not a curated record.